Molecule: long non-coding RNA, 1881 nt
Organism: Polypterus senegalus (gray bichir)
Lineage: Eukaryota; Metazoa; Chordata; Cladistia; Polypteriformes; Polypteridae
Exons: 3
Source: RefSeq, a predicted model, not a curated record
GUAUUUUACCGAACCUGCUACGGUACUUGGUACAGAUCUUGAGCUGCCUGGUACUGUGACUAAUAGUAGGUGGGUCUCUGGUACAAUUUCAGGCGAAUGGUGUUAGACUUCAGGCAGAACCGCCCCCUUAGUCCCGUCCCUGGGCGUUCCUAAACUGUCUUUAAAACGGCAGCCAGCGUGAUACCCGGCUACAUGGCAGCAGGCGCAGGUAGAGAGCAGUGGCACAGAGGCGCAGAUAUUGAUACAUCAGCUCACAUCUUGUGGAAAAUGAUUCUGCAUUGGGGACACAGUUUGCAAGCCUGACACAAUACUGGGGUGCAGAUUGAAGAUUAGUAUUGCAGGUGAGCUGAUUGUACUUGAGGAUGCUUCUACCUGCCCACCUCAGACAGAUAUCUUGACCACCAGGAGCUCUUCAUUUCUUCCAGAUCAUGUCCGAGUCUUAUGGUGCAGCUGGCAUAGUCCUCUACAUAAAGGCCAUGAAUUGAACAAGACAUUUGUGCGAGUGCCCAUGAUGUGAGAUUUGACCUGUCAAGAUCUGUGGACAUCUUUCUGUCUUCAUAUUGUUAAUUUGCUUGAAACCAUGAAGAUUGGCAUUUGGUCAUUGAACGAGUAGGAUAACAUGACAAACAGCAUUUGAUUUUUGAAUGAGUAGGAACUUGUCUGUGUGGUCACUGCUGUGAACAUUGAAUAUGUCUGGAAACAUCUGGACAAUGCAGAGUAUGGACUAGAAAUAUGAAAGGCCAGUGAUGAAAUGGCAUGUUUCAUGUUGGGAUUUGCGUACAAAGGCACACAGUCACCCUCCAUCUGAACAGCAUUCUAAUGCUACACAAUGUGAGUGGUGUGCCAGGAAGCCACAGGACUGAAGUAGCUGAGUAAACUACAGUGGAGGGAAAAGGGUGGUGGAGAGGUGAAGGUUCACAGGGCAAAGGUGACACGACCAGGUAAUGAGAGCAGCAGGGAGCAGAUGGCUCUUCAUUGUGGAUCUGGAUGUGGAGAAGAGACAUGUGGAGGGAGUUCCAGGGAGUGGGUGCCACCAAGAUGAAGGAGCCUCACAUGGAGGAUGGGAGAGUGAGGAUAAUGGAAGUGACAUGGCACUGGAGUCACUUGGUGACACCAGCAGUGCAAGCAGGGUGCAGAGUAAAAGUAUUUUACAGGUUCAGUAGAAGAAAACAACUUUUCAUAUUCAGUAGAAUGUCAGUUGAGAUUGGGCCUACAAACAUGUGUCAUUCAGUCAUCUGGCUGGCAGCACGGGGUCCAGAGAUGGAGUCCACAGGUGAUACUACAGAGCUGUGUCUCUGUCAUCAAUGUAACAGGCACUGUCACUUGGCAGGGGAUGGGGCACAUUCAUCUUUUGACACAAUGAUGGGAUGGUAGAACACGAGACAUAAGGAGGUGCCAUCAAAUUCAAGAUUGGCUGAGUGACAAACCUCGCAUGACAGUGCAGAAUUAAGACACAUCUCCAUGCUGUAUUGGUUUUUUUUUGGUUCAAUAGUCCACUAUGGCCACCACCAACAUGUGAUCUGCCAAGCACUUCCCAGAAGGCUUGCUUCCCUCCUCUCUGUAAGGCUCCUUCAUCUUGGUGGCACCCACUCCCUGGAACUCCCUCCCCAUGACCCCUCUUCAAGUUCAGAUCCACACUGAAGAGCCACCUGCUCUUUGCUGCUCUUAUUGUCCAGUCUUGUCACCCUUCUCAUGUAACACCUAACUGGUGGGACUGCCCUGACCACCAAAACACAACUACUUUACUUUUCAUGUUGCUGCUCUUCUCUCCAUACUGGCUGCACUUCUUGUAUAGUUUUGUAACGCUGCUUUUUUGGGUUUCUAAGUCUAAAUAUGAUGGUGAAUGGGGCUUUAUAAAAUAAAGAUACUGGCUACAAUAAU